This 1321-nucleotide ribosomal RNA is filed under the name Lacticaseibacillus rhamnosus. RNAcentral describes it as "bacterial SSU rRNA". It matches the Rfam family "Bacterial small subunit ribosomal RNA", at positions 83 to 1391 of the family's 1533-position model. Lineage: Bacteria; Bacillati; Bacillota; Bacilli; Lactobacillales; Lactobacillaceae. The record is from RNAcentral.
AAUUUUGAACGAGUGGCGGACGGGUGAGUAACACGUGGGUAACCUGCCCUUAAGUGGGGGAUAACAUUUGGAAACAGAUGCUAAUACCGCAUAAAUCCAAGAACCGCAUGGUUCUUGGCUGAAAGAUGGCGUAAGCUAUCGCUUUUGGAUGGACCCGCGGCGUAUUAGCUAGUUGGUGAGGUAACGGCUCACCAAGGCAAUGAUACGUAGCCGAACUGAGAGGUUGAUCGGCCACAUUGGGACUGAGACACGGCCCAAACUCCUACGGGAGGCAGCAGUAGGGAAUCUUCCACAAUGGACGCAAGUCUGAUGGAGCAACGCCGCGUGAGUGAAGAAGGCUUUCGGGUCGUAAAACUCUGUUGUUGGAGAAGAAUGGUCGGCAGAGUAACUGUUGUCGGCGUGACGGUAUCCAACCAGAAAGCCACGGCUAACUACGUGCCAGCAGCCGCGGUAAUACGUAGGUGGCAAGCGUUAUCCGGAUUUAUUGGGCGUAAAGCGAGCGCAGGCGGUUUUUUAAGUCUGAUGUGAAAGCCCUCGGCUUAACCGAGGAAGUGCAUCGGAAACUGGGAAACUUGAGUGCAGAAGAGGACAGUGGAACUCCAUGUGUAGCGGUGAAAUGCGUAGAUAUAUGGAAGAACACCAGUGGCGAAGGCGGCUGUCUGGUCUGUAACUGACGCUGAGGCUCGAAAGCAUGGGUAGCGAACAGGAUUAGAUACCCUGGUAGUCCAUGCCGUAAACGAUGAAUGCUAGGUGUUGGAGGGUUUCCGCCCUUCAGUGCCGCAGCUAACGCAUUAAGCAUUCCGCCUGGGGAGUACGACCGCAAGGUUGAAACUCAAAGGAAUUGACGGGGGCCCGCACAAGCGGUGGAGCAUGUGGUUUAAUUCGAAGCAACGCGAAGAACCUUACCAGGUCUUGACAUCUUUUGAUCACCUGAGAGAUCAGGUUUCCCCUUCGGGGGCAAAAUGACAGGUGGUGCAUGGUUGUCGUCAGCUCGUGUCGUGAGAUGUUGGGUUAAGUCCCGCAACGAGCGCAACCCUUAUGACUAGUUGCCAGCAUUUAGUUGGGCACUCUAGUAAGACUGCCGGUGACAAACCGGAGGAAGGUGGGGAUGACGUCAAAUCAUCAUGCCCCUUAUGACCUGGGCUACACACGUGCUACAAUGGAUGGUACAACGAGUUGCGAGACCGCGAGGUCAAGCUAAUCUCUUAAAGCCAUUCUCAGUUCGGACUGUAGGCUGCAACUCGCCUACACGAAGUCGGAAUCGCUAGUAAUCGCGGAUCAGCACGCCGCGGUGAAUACGUUCCCGGGCCUUGUACACACC